RNAcentral lists this ribosomal RNA (91 nucleotides) under Bacteriovorax sp. The record is from RNAcentral. Lineage: Bacteria; Pseudomonadati; Bdellovibrionota; Bacteriovoracia; Bacteriovoracales; Bacteriovoracaceae.
ACCCGAUCCCAUCCCGAACUCGGAAGUUAAGCUCUUCAGCGCCGAAGGUAGUGCCAGGGAAACUUGGUGUGAGAAAAGGUCGAUGCACCCU